This is a long non-coding RNA of Quercus robur (English oak), 485 nucleotides long. RefSeq lists it as uncharacterized. NCBI's taxonomy places the organism in Eukaryota, Viridiplantae, Streptophyta, Magnoliopsida, Fagales, Fagaceae. The record is from RefSeq and is a predicted model, not a curated record. The transcript is spliced from 2 exons.
GAGUUGUGACUUGUGCUUCACUUCAUCUUGGGGAAAUUCGACCUGGUGCUUUAAGGGGAAAUCACAGACAUCAUACUUGUAAUGAGACACUUGUCAUUUGGGGUGCUAAAACAAAAUAUAGGUUGGAGAACAGCCAAGUAGUUGGUGAAGGUUAUGCUGAACUGAUAAUUGAUGCAGACGAGGUUGCUGUUGCAGCUAGCCCAAGCGGAGCUGCCCAUGCUUUAGUAAACGUGGAUCAAAUACGAAGUUCAUACUUUAUAGGGUGCCAAGACAGUAUUGUAAAUUAUAGCAACUCAUCUACUGAUUUUAAUGUUUAGAAAGAUCUUUAAGCUUUAUUUUUUGCAAGUUUUGCUUGGUUUCCCUUUCCAGUCUGACAGGCUUCAUUUUUUUUUUUUUUUUGUUUUAAAUUGCCCAAUAGGUGACUACUGUACUAGGGCAUUCCAAGGUUAAUAUAAGUUUCAAGAUAAGAAGUUGUUGUCUCUGUA